CAUUCCUUUGAAUAUAACUAUAUUUUACUAUAUUUUCAGUCACUAAUGUAUUUUUGUUUCUGGUAUCAUAUAAAUGAGAUAAGUUAAAAUCUGCGAAUAAGUUUAUAUUUUGCUUAACAAAUAUAAUUACUUCAUAUAUGUAUAAGCUCACUAAGGUAAGUAUUCUUUUUUCAAUAAAAAUUUGUUUACAGCUAUCUGUCUGUUUCAUGUUUAGAAUAUUUCUAAUGCAUCUCUUUUGUAGUACAAAUAAAUCGAUAGCAUCACUAGAGUUUCCCCAGAAGACAAUUCCAUAUUUUAUUUGAGAUUGAACAUAUGCAUGGUAUGCUAUAAAUGCUGUAGGAAUAUUAAUAUUUUGAGCUAUUACUUUUAGAGCAUAACAGUAUUUAGCGAUCUUUUGACCAACAUGGUCUACAUGGGUUUUCCAGUUCAAACGUGAAUCAAUCUUUACCCCCAAAAAGGAGGUGCUAUUCAUAGAUGUUAUGAUGUCAUUGCCAGUAGUAUUCCUUAUUUUUAUUACCGAUUAUUAUAGAUGUAUCAUCAGCAUACAUAAUAGUUUUUACAUCAACUGUUGAGGGCAGGUCAUUUGUGUAUAAAAUAUACAACAAAGGACCCAAUAUCGACCCCUGAGGUACACCCCUUUCUAUUAAUACUACGUUUGAUUUUAUGAGAGCGCCAGUAUCGUCCGUUUCUACAACACACUGCUUCCUAUUCAGCAGGUGCCUCAAGUUCCAGUAACUGGCCCUCGUGAUCAGAUAAAGCUGUUGUAAUUACUUUACCUAUAUGAGCAUUAUCAAAG
This is a long non-coding RNA of Anoplophora glabripennis (Asian longhorned beetle), 796 nucleotides long. RefSeq lists it as uncharacterized. The transcript is spliced from 3 exons. NCBI's taxonomy places the organism in Eukaryota, Metazoa, Arthropoda, Insecta, Coleoptera, Cerambycidae. The record is from RefSeq and is a predicted model, not a curated record.